Molecule: ribosomal RNA, 750 nt
Filed under: uncultured bacterium
Lineage: Bacteria
Description: bacterial SSU rRNA
Rfam family: Bacterial small subunit ribosomal RNA
Source: RNAcentral
AUUGAACGCUGGCGGCAGGCUUAACACAUGCAAGUCGAACGAUGAAGAUAUAGCUUGCUAUAUCGGAUUAGUGGCGGACGGGUGAGUAACACUUAGGAAUCUACCUUUUAGCGGGGGAUAGCUCGGGGAAACUCGAAUUAAUACCGCAUAAUUUCUACGGAAUAAAGAGGGCUUUUAGCUCUCACUAGAAGAUGAGCCUAAGUAAGAUUAGCUAGUUGGUGGGGUAAAAGCCUACCAAGGCGACGAUCUUUAGCUGGUCUGAGAGGAUGAUCAGCCACACUGGGACUGAGACACGGCCCAGACUCCUACGGGAGGCAGCAGUGGGGAAUAUUGGACAAUGGGGGCAACCCUGAUCCAGCCAUGCCGCGUGUGUGAAGAAGGCCUUUUGGUUGUAAAGCACUUUAAGCAGUGAAGAAGACCUAUUGGUUAAUACCCAAUAGCGAUGACAUUAACUGCAGAAUAAGCACCGGCUAACUCUGUGCCAGCAGCCGCGGUAAUACAGAGGGUGCAAGCGUUAAUCGGAAUUACUGGGCGUAAAGCGAGCGUAGGUGGUUAAAUAAGUCAGAUGUGAAAGCCCUGGGCUCAACCUAGGAACUGCAUCUGAAACUAUUUAACUAGAGUAGGUGAGAGGGAAGUAGAAUUUCAGGUGUAGCGGUGAAAUGCGUAGAGAUCUGAAGGAAUACCGAUGGCGAAGGCAGCUUCCUGGCAUCAUACUGACACUGAGGCUCGAAAGCGUGGGUAGCAAACAGG